UUGGGACCAAGAAAAAAAUGGUUCUGCAGAAGAGGAUCGAUCAAAUGAUGCUAUAUAUAUAUGAUAAUAUGAGAUACUUGAUGUUUAUUUUUUUUGUACCGACGGCCAACUUGAUACAAGUAACAAGGAUGAGUUGAGGUGAUCCUACAAUGACGGAGGGGCCAGCCACUGAACGCUAAGCUGAAACAACCAGAAUGGGACAUUUCCCAUUCAUGGAU
RNAcentral lists this long non-coding RNA (218 nucleotides) under Elaeis guineensis (African oil palm). RNAcentral describes it as "long non-coding RNA (EGUI_LNC003560)". The record is from RNAcentral. Lineage: Eukaryota; Viridiplantae; Streptophyta; Magnoliopsida; Arecales; Arecaceae.